Molecule: long non-coding RNA, 2944 nt
Organism: Episyrphus balteatus (marmalade hoverfly)
Lineage: Eukaryota; Metazoa; Arthropoda; Insecta; Diptera; Syrphidae
Exons: 2
Source: RefSeq, a predicted model, not a curated record
UUUUUCAAAAUUUUAUUUUUGGCUUAUAUUUAAAUUAUAUAAAUGCUUCUUCACAAAAAGUUUCGUUGAAAUCGCAAAAGCAGUUUUGGAGAUAAUCGGAUUUAAAAAAAAAACGGUUCUAUGGCAGGUACCGUUAAUAAUGAUUUUCAAAAAAAAUUAGAAGAUAGACCUUAACUUUAAACUAACACUUGAAUUUUUUAAAUAAAAUCGUUAGAGCCGUUUUCGAGAUAUUACAAUUUUACUAAAAUCGGUAUAUGACAAGUACCGUUAUUUUUGGUCCAAAAAAAUUAAUUCCAAAAACCCCUCUGGAGAGUCGCCAAAUAACGCUACAUACCAGGUUUGGCAUUAUCUACUAUCGUAAUGUCAUGGAAAAAUGUUAUCUCAACUUUUUUUUUGUACGUAUGCAUAACUUGAUAUAUAGUACCUAUAUCGCAAGUAAAAAAAGAUAAUGUGAUGUCAAUUGCCCAUGGGUAAGCUAAUUGGGGAUAAUGUAUGUUAAUAAAACAGCUAAUAGCGCAUGAUGGUCAUGGUUUGAGUAUACCAUUGCAUGAUGGCCAUUUCUGUUUCAACCUCCAAUUAGAUAGUGUGGAGUAGUCUGUUUUUCUUUAAAAGCUGAAAGUGGUAAGCUUUACUUACGAUAUAAAAAAAAGUUUGAGAAAGUGCAGUGCGGCAAUUUUGUUAUAUUCUUUUUAACGAAAUAGUAGUCGUAUCCGACGGAAAUAAAAAAAAAAAGUUACAUACUCUAAGGAGAAAAUUCAAAAGUUGGGAACAGGAAAUUUUUUUUUUUUUUUUCAAAAAAUAGAGUAAGUGAUAUCUUGUUAAGAUUUAUUAAAGACAUGACCUAACCCCAAAUCCAGUUAAUAGGGAAUUGGGGGUCACAGACAAGGUCACCGAGGCCGCCGAGGUUUUAUUCUUCUUGAAGGAUUUUUGUAAUCAUCAACAGAUAAGUUCCUUAUCAGAAGGAACUAACGACCUUCGGAGAUUCAUUCAACUGAAAAAAAAAAAAAAAUCAAAUGUCAAAUCGCAGCAAUAAGGCUGUGAGAGCUAUCCGAUUCAUCGAAGACCAAGGCAUAUUAGAUUAGAGAGAUCAAAAGUGGAGCUUAAAUUUGGAAAAUAGUUUAUCAACGGCCCACGUUUAUUGAAAGAUGCUACGUUUGCGAAGCCAGGUGGUGUUGAGAUGACCUCCCCUUCAAGCAAGAAAACAGAGCUCAGAAUAGACACUCCGACCUCAAAACGCGAAAUAUGAGUAAAAACGAGGUUACACUCACACACUUGCAACACAAAGCCGAAGUUCUCCUUCGUGAUGAAAAGUGCGAAAAGGAGAAAUGACGAAAGAAAGACAAAGGCAAGAAAAUGACAAAGCGCCAUUUUGUUAUUUAUUUGUUGACUGUUGCAGUUCCUCGCGUGUCGCGUAUCGUGCUAGUGACUCGUCAUAAGUAUUAAUAAUAUUGUUAUUAAUAUUAAUUGGAAUAAAAAAAGUUAAUCUUUUUUUGUUUUUCGUAGGAAAUCUUCUUCUUCGGCAAACCAACGCGUGAAGCCACCAGCAACAUUUAUCAGCAAUAAUUUUUUUCAUCAAUUUGUUGAACUGCAUCCAAUGCUACUCCAGUUGCUGUAUCAAAAGAAAAUUGUGAAAAUAUUUUUGUUUGUGAAAAUAAAAUAAAAAAAAAAUAAAUCAUGUUCUUUUUUUGGUUGCAAAUGGCUUCAAAUACCAUACGUCAUUCCUUUUUUCGAUUCUUUUUGUGGUUCUUUUUGUGCUCCGACUUGGCUACGAGCUCGGCUCCGUUUAUUCGGAAUGGAGAAUUUCACCACACCAAUUUAUUUUAAUUUUUCUUAAUUUACAUAGGUAUACAUUAUACAUAUAUAUAUUUAUUUCGUAUUUUCAAUUUUUUUUUGUUCAAUUGUUUUUUUUUGUUGGAAGUGUCGUAGGGCAUUAAAACCGUGAAUUGCCUUUUCCUCCUUCGUUGGCGAAAUUGGUACUUGUUUGAGCAUAUAAAAACCGCUAUAGACUACUAUACAGAGCUUUAUAUAGGUAGGGAAAUUAUCGUGAACGCGGGCGGAAAAGUAAGGUCAUAUUUUUGAUUAAAAAGGGGCUAGAGGAUUGCCAUAAGGAUUAAUGCCAUAUGCCAAAUUUGUAAAUUUCUUAAAUUAUAAUCAUUUUUUUUUUGUUUUCACAUUUUUUAGUUCUGCCAAUAAUUUUGAUUUGUUUCUGCUCAUUGAAUUGUUUUGUUUUAAGUUUCAAAUUCAAGUUAUUAUUUUUUUUCAAAUCCAAUGCGACCACAAAUUGAUUCUGAUGAUUUUCUUAUUUACUAAAUAUCGAAAUUGUGCUUUAAAGCUAUGAAAUAAAUUAUUGUAAAUCACGCCAACGCACAUAGGGGUAUUUACCAAUUUUAAGCGGACAAAAUUAUUUUUCCGGUUUAUCUUCAUCAACAAGGUAAAAGCUUGUAUUUAGUACUGGAAUAAAGUGUUUUAAGUGUUAAUUUUAAUGAAAAUAUUUUUUUUCCUAAACCACUAUUUGAUCAAACAAAAAAGUGUAAGGAAUGGAUCCCAAUGGUUUGUUAGAACUCUUAUAAAUGGAGUUCUUAAAAUUUAGGAAAAAUCAUAAGGAUUCAGGUUCUGUAAUUCAAAAAGUUGAAUCUUUAAAAAAACUUAAAAUAUGGAUGCUGAAUGCAGGGUAACCAUUUUUUAAAACCUAAAACCUUUAAGAAGGGCAAAUGUGUCGAAGUUGAACUUAGUUGCACUUAUUUUUUACAGAUUCAAUUAGAUAAGAGUUUAACCUUUGGAAAACAUUAAAUUUUAUCACACAAUAAUGUGAAAUUGUAUAACUUAUCUCCUUACCAACACAGAAAUUUACUUUUUUUACGAUUAAUUUAUAUUAAGAUUCAACAUAUCACUUUUUUAUUUAUAAAGUAAUACAACAUUUAGAUACAACAUCUAGUAGACAGUU